This is a long non-coding RNA of Gavialis gangeticus (Gharial), 92 nucleotides long. RefSeq lists it as uncharacterized. The transcript is spliced from 3 exons. The record is from RefSeq and is a predicted model, not a curated record. Lineage: Eukaryota; Metazoa; Chordata; Crocodylia; Gavialidae.
CAUGCAGCCCUCACUGGCUUGCCUAAACUCAGUAAGCGGCCUUCUGCCCAAAAUUAUUGCCCGCCCCGGCUUAGAGCCCUAAAGCAAUGCUU